AAURCCUAGGAAUCUGCCUGGUAGUGGGGGAUAACGCUCGGAAACGGACGCUAAUACCGCAUACGUCCUACGGGAGAAAAGCAGGGGACCUUCGGGCCUUGCGCUAUCAGAUGAGCCUAGGUCGGAUUAGGUAGUUGGUGAGGUAAUGGCUCACCAAGGCGACGAUCCGUAACUGGUCUGAGAGGAUGAUCAGUCACACUGGAACUGAGACACGGUCCAGACUCCUACGGGAGGCAGCAGUGGGGAAUAUUGGACAAUGGGCGAAAGCCUGAUCCAGCCAUGCCGCGUGUGUGAAGAAGGUCUUCGGAUUGUAAAGCACUUUAAGUUGGGAGGAAGGGCAGUUACCUAAUACGUAUCUGUUUUGACGUUACCGACAGAAUAAGCACCGGCUAACUCUGUGCCAGCAGCCGCGGUAAUACAGAGGGUGCAAGCGUUAAUCGGAAUUACUGGGCGUAAAGCGCGCGUAGGUGGUUCGUUAAGUUGGAUGUGAAAUCCCCGGGCUCAACCUGGGAACUGCAUUCAAAACUGUCGAGCUAGAGUAUGGUAGAGGGUGGUGGAAUUUCCUGUGUAGCGGUGAAAUGCGUAGAUAUAGGAAGGAACACCAGUGGCGAAGGCGACCACCUGGACUGAUACUGACACUGAGGUGCGAAAGCGUGGGGAGCAAACAGGUAU
RNAcentral lists this ribosomal RNA (672 nucleotides) under Pseudomonas sp. A24MT14. Its description in RNAcentral is "bacterial SSU rRNA". It matches the Rfam family "Bacterial small subunit ribosomal RNA", at positions 112 to 779 of the family's 1533-position model. Lineage: Bacteria; Pseudomonadati; Pseudomonadota; Gammaproteobacteria; Pseudomonadales; Pseudomonadaceae. The record is from RNAcentral.